RNAcentral lists this ribosomal RNA (251 nucleotides) under uncultured bacterium. RNAcentral's name for it is "partial 16S ribosomal RNA". It matches the Rfam family "Bacterial small subunit ribosomal RNA", at positions 524 to 776 of the family's 1533-position model. The record is from RNAcentral.
UACGGAGGGUGCAAGCGUUAAUCGGAAUUACUGGGCGCAAAGCGCACGCAGGCGGUUGGAUAAGUUAGAUGUGAAAGCCCCGGGCUCAACCUGGGAAUUGCAUUUAAAACUGUCCAGCUAGAGUCUUGUAGAGGGGUAGAAUUCCAGGUGUAGCGGUGAAAUGCGUAGAGAUCUGGAGGAAUACCGGUGGCGAAGGCGGCCCCCUGGACAAAGACUGACGCUCAGGUGCGAAAGCGUGGGGAGCAAACAGG